This 434-nucleotide ribosomal RNA is filed under the name uncultured bacterium. RNAcentral's name for it is "bacterial SSU rRNA". It matches the Rfam family "Bacterial small subunit ribosomal RNA", at positions 342 to 793 of the family's 1533-position model. The record is from RNAcentral.
CGGGAGGCAGCAGUGGGGAAUCUUGCACAAUGGGGGAAACCCUGAUGCAGCGACGCCGCGUGAGCGAUGAAGCCCUUCGGGGUGUAAAGCUCUUUCGACAGGGACGAUAAUGACGGUACCUGAAGAAGAAGCUGCGGCUAACUACGUGCCAGCAGCCGCGGUAAUACGUAGGCAGCGAGCGUUGUUCGGAAUUACUGGGCGUAAAGAGUGUGUAGGUGGUUGUCUAAGUUUGGUGUGAAAUCUCCCGGCUUAACUGGGAGGGUGCGCCGAAAACUGGUCAGCUAGAGUGUGGGAGAGGGACGUGGAAUUCCUGGUGUAGCGGUGAAAUGCGUAGAUAUCAGGAGGAACACCUGAGGUGUAGACGGCGUCCUGGACCAUUACUGACACUGAAGCACGAAAGCGUGGGUAGCAAACAGGAUUAGAUACCCCCGUAU